AGAUCUGGUCCGGGGUCACCGGAAAACGGGUGAUUUUCACGUGAGUAACCUGCCCUUAACUCUGGGAUAAGCCUGGGAAACUGGGUCUAAUACCGGAUAUGACUCCUCAUCGCAUGGUGGGGGGUGGAAAGCUUUUGUGGUUUUGGAUGGACUCGCGGCCUAUCAGCUUGUUGGUGAGGUAAUGGCUCACCAAGGCGACGACGGGUAGCCGGCCUGAGAGGGUGACCGGCCACACUGGGACUGAGACACGGCCCAGACUCCUACGGGAGGCAGCAGUGGGGAAUAUUGCACAAUGGGCGGAAGCCUGAUGCAGCGACGCCGCGUGAGGGAUGACGGCCUUCGGGUUGUAAACCUCUUUCAGUAGGGAAGAAGCGAAAGUGACGGUACCUGCAGAAGAAGCGCCGGCUAACUACGUGCCAGCAGCCGCGGUAAUACGUAGGGCGCAAGCGUUAUCCGGAAUUAUUGGGCGUAAAGAGCUCGUAGGCGGUUUGUCGCGUCUGCCGUGAAAGUCCGGGGCUCAAC
This 522-nucleotide ribosomal RNA is filed under the name Micrococcaceae bacterium E03. RNAcentral's name for it is "bacterial SSU rRNA". It matches the Rfam family "Bacterial small subunit ribosomal RNA", at positions 78 to 613 of the family's 1533-position model. RNAcentral also lists the same sequence under 1 other name. The record is from RNAcentral. Lineage: Bacteria; Bacillati; Actinomycetota; Actinomycetes; Micrococcales; Micrococcaceae.